GGGCUUGGGGCGCCGGCUGGUGACUCGACACUGGGGGCGGGGGCUGGGUCCUCCAGGCGGGGCUGUCCUCCACCUACCUGAGCAAGGAGGCAGCAGGGGCGCUGGGGGUUCAGACUCCGGAUGUCCCUCGGGUGGGGGCACAGGCUUCCCUGAGUCCUGUCCUCAGACCCAGACCCCACACAGGCUUCCGGGUGCCCUCCCUUCAGCUCCCGCCCACACGUGGUCACCACAAAUGACUUUCCCCCUCGUUUCUUUUUAUAAGGUCACUUUUUUUUAUGUUUAUUAGUUUUUAUUUUUAAGAGAGACAGAGCACGAGCGGGGGAGGGGCAGACAGAGAGGGAGACACAGAAUCCGAAGCGGGCUCCAGGCCCUGAGCUGUCCACACAGAGCCCGAUGCGGGACUCAAACCCACCAACCGUGAGAUCAUCACCUGAGCCGAAGUCGGUGCUCAACCAGCUGAGCCACCCAGAAACGCCAGUGCAGGCCCGGGAGACCACGGGGCAGACAGAACACAGCGCCCCAGCGAGCGGCGUCCAGGGGAACGAACGGCUCAGUCCUGCUCGCCACAAACAAGCCGCAGGCCCGUAAGCCCUGGCGCACAGCACGGCCCGCGGAAAGACGCACGGCAUCAUCAUUUGCUGACGUGCGGAUCCACCUCGGCGGGCCCGGUGCCCAGCCAGGAGGCGGCUGGAAUCAGCACCCAGGCCGCAGGAAGCGUUGGCGUGAACGCGGUGGGGAAGCGGAGCCCCACUCACGCCGGCCGGGGGGGUACAGGGUGCAGCCCCCGGGCAGAGCUGCCUGGCAGAUCCUCAGACGCCCAACUGUGAGGUUUCCAUAGCAACCCAGCGGCUCCAGCGCUCCGCGUGCGCCCAAGAGGGAUGGCGGGGUGUCCGUGCAGAACCCACACGCGGACGCUGGCGGCAGCCAGAGCUGGAGACAACGACGGGUCCGCCAAACACGGUCCAGCCCCCGGCGGGGUGUCACUCGGGCUCAGCAAGGAGCGAAGCGUGGACGCGGCCGCGUGGACGAGCCUUGAAACCACGGCGUGGGGAUGAUGGCUUUUUGGGGAAGGAGGGCUGUUCCACCAUUCAGAUUUCUCUGCCCCAUCCCCAGGACUUUGCCCCAAAUGGAUGACCGAGAAUGCACGGAUCCGCAGGCACCACCCGCGAGGACACCAGAGCCACAGACCCCACACAGCUUCCAUCAUGUGAUGUGCUCCCUGGAGAACCUUCUCCAGAGCUUCCUCACUGAACCCGUGGAAGUCCUUGCUCAUCAUUCCACGUGGCCAUGCACACCAUGUCCAACAUUUCCACGGCUUUUCUGCUGAAACGAUUUCACCAGGGUUAACUCAUCUACGUGAAAGAUGCACCAGGCUGGGCUACCCGGUCCGUUGUAGCAUGGGUCACGUUGUCAAAACUGGCCAAUUACAGCGUCUGCUCUCUCUCGGGGUCUCUAUGUCCAGCUGUCCAGCUACCCUGGGAGCUCCGAAGCCCUGACAUGGCCAAGCGGAACUUUUCCUUCCUUCCAUCAACCUUUAGCUGACGUGCAGCCCUGGGCUGAGCCCCCCAGCACCAUGCAGGCCCCGGGCAAAGAUGGGCCAAGAACCUGAGCAAGAACAAUGUUCUUGGGGCCAAAGUCCCCAGGGCUGGCUGGUCACUCUCAUCAGCUGCCUGUACCUGUGCCUAACCCUGGCCUCAUUCUUCCCCUCCAACCAGUGACAAUCAGGGACGUGACUCCGGCCAUCUCAGUCCUUCCCUCCGUGUGGUGAGGGUCAGGGAUGUGACCUGGGCCGCCCCGUCUCCCUUCCCCUCUGUCCAGUGGGGUGGAGAUGAUGGUGGGCUUCGCUUGUACCAGGGCUCCCUGCCCCUGCCAUCUCCCAAAGCAAACCUCUCCCCGCCUUCAGUAUUUGACCCACAUUGUGUAGCGAAUGUGACAAGGGCUGUGGGCCAAUUUCUGUCCCCGGGACCAUCUGUUGUUUGCGAGCAGCGGGCAGUUGUCUCCACCUUCCAGGGCGGACAGCCCCUC
This is a long non-coding RNA of Acinonyx jubatus (cheetah), 2025 nucleotides long. RefSeq lists it as uncharacterized. Lineage: Eukaryota; Metazoa; Chordata; Mammalia; Carnivora; Felidae. The record is from RefSeq and is a predicted model, not a curated record. The transcript has 3 exons.